AUGGCUCAGAACGAACGCUGGCGGCAUGCCUAAUACAUGCAAGUCGAACGGAGAUAGCAAUAUCUUAGUGGCGAACGGGUGCGUAACACGUGAGCAACCUGCCUUAUACAUCGGAAUAACAGCUGGAAACGGCUGCUAAUACCGGAUAAGACCACACCAAGGCAUCUUGGAGAGGUCAAAGCGAAUUAGCGGUAUAAGAUGGGCUCGCGUCCAAUUAGCUAGUUGGUGGGGUAACGGCCCACCAAGACAACGAUUGGUAGCCGACUUGAGAGAGUGAUCGGCCACACUGGAACUGAGACACGGUCCAGACUCCUACGGGAGGCAGCAGUAGGGAAUAUUGGGCAAUGGAGGAAACUCCUUACCCAGCAAUGCCGCGUGAAUGAUGAAGGUCUUAUGGAUUGUAAAGUUCUUUAAUUGGGGACGAAAGAAAUGACGGUACCCAAAGAAUAAGCCCCGGCUAACUAUGUGCCAGCAGCCGC
Molecule: ribosomal RNA, 479 nt
Filed under: uncultured bacterium
Lineage: Bacteria
Description: bacterial SSU rRNA
Rfam family: Bacterial small subunit ribosomal RNA
Source: RNAcentral